This 870-nucleotide long non-coding RNA is filed under the name Lonchura striata (white-rumped munia). RNAcentral's name for it is "domestica (Bengalese finch) lncRNA (ENSLSDG00000000383.1)". Lineage: Eukaryota; Metazoa; Chordata; Aves; Passeriformes; Estrildidae. The record is from RNAcentral.
CCUAUAUCAUGUGAUUAACCUGAAGCUGGACAGAUUUGUACCUUUUCCUGGCCACAGGACUACCAGGUACCAGGUACCACCACACAGAGCUGCAGUGUAUACACAUAAAUAAAAAGAAAGGUUGUGCCAAAAUUCUUUGAUGGAACAGUUUGCAUUAUUUAAUGCCAGUUUCUCCAAAUCAGAAAGAACUGAACCAACUUAUGGGACAAUGAAAAGCAACUCAUCUUCAGGACAUCUUGAGAAAGGUGGAGAUGAAGGAUAUUGCCAUGCAAAAUGUCCCAGUGGAGAUCAUCUUCUUGUUUGGAGCUGCAGGCUGUGAGGAGUGGUGCAUGACCAGGUCCCUGUGCUGUUGCCUUUGCCUACCUCCAGGAAAGCGUCUGGCUGUUGCUGACAAGGGAGAGCUGUUUGAGAAGAUUACUCUGUGCCUCCUACUAGCAAUCAUCCACAGUACUUUUCCAAAAGUACUUUACUGAGUGGGAGCAGCAGAACACAUUUCUCCUGAAGAUACUCUUUGCGGGUCUGAUUUUUCCAUGAAUCUCCAGUUCAGCAAAGAAUACUUUAUCUUACCCUAACCACCAGUUGCAAACUAGCCAGGGAUUUCACUUACAUUUGCCUCUCGUGUUGCCUCUGGGCAGGACAUAGGACAGGUUACCCACAGCAGAGAAACUGCCACCACUGUAAGCUGGAAGUGUUCUCAAGGUAUAAUUUAAGUGAACUCAAGAGGAAAAAUAGCCCAGAGACAGCGCCUGUGGCCAAAAGCUCAGGCAGAAGUGGUGUCAUGUCAGUCCACAGCUAUGCAGCGAGCUACUCUGCAUCUUCCUGUCUUGGUUUCUCCCCUGUGAAAUGGGGAUUAAAAUACCCAUCUGUCUU